AAACCAACAGGGAUUGCCUCAGUAACGGCGAGUGAAGCGGCAAAAGCUCAAAUUUGAAAUCUGGCGUCUUUGGCGUCCGAGUUGUAAUUUGAAGAUGGCAACUUUGGGUCUGGUGCUUGUCUAAGUUCCUUGGAACAGGACGUCAUAGAGGGUGAGAAUCCCGUAUGAUGAGAGAGCCAGAUCUUUGUAAAGUGCCUUCGAAGAGUCGAGUUGUUUGGGAAUGCAGCUCUAAGUGGGUGGUAAAUUCCAUCUAAAGCUAAAUAUUGGCGAGAGACCGAUAGCGAACAAGUACAGUGAUGGAAAGAUGAAAAGAACUUUGAAAAGAGAGUGAAAAAGUACGUGAAAUUGUUGAAAGGGAAGGGUUUGAGAUCAGACAUGGUAUUUUGUACACCUUCUCUCUCGGGAGGGGGCCUCUGCAGUUUACUGGGCCAGCAUCAGUUUGGACGGUAGGAUAAUGACUUAGGAAUGUGGCUCUUCUUCGGAAGUGUGUUAUAGCCUUUGUUGAUACUGCCUGUCUAGACUGAGGACCGCGUCUUUGACAAGGAUGUUGGCAUAAUGAUCUUAAGCCAC
Molecule: ribosomal RNA, 570 nt
Filed under: Millerozyma koratensis
Lineage: Eukaryota; Fungi; Ascomycota; Pichiomycetes; Serinales; Debaryomycetaceae
Description: eukaryotic LSU rRNA
Rfam family: Eukaryotic large subunit ribosomal RNA
Source: RNAcentral